AGGAGGAAAUCCUAUGUGUCUGCUCCCGGAGCUGCCACAACCCAUCUUCCCACAACUCGGAACUUGGAAAAAGGAACCCAGGACACGACUUUGCUUUUCUUUUGGACCUAGUUGAAGUCACAGCUUGGAGGAAACCAGUUUGCACUAUUUGAUGAGGAAUUUGGCCACCAAACCACUGAUACUUUCCCAAAGAUACAAGUUAACAGGAUAUGCUUCUGGCCUGUUUCUGGAUUCUAAGGGUAGAACCAGCAUAAAACUAGUCAGUCCAAGUAUUUCUAAAGAUCCACAGACACAGUUCUCCUGGAUUUGGGAAGCCUAGAGAUAUUAGCACAAUAAUUAAGGCCCAACAACUUUUAAAAGCCUUUCCACUGCACAGUGAAAGAAAACCACAAACUCCUUGUUUAAUAAGUGGGAUCACGUGCUUUUAACACGAGGAAAAGGUCAAUCUGAAGCAACUGAUAUGGAACUGCCAGAGUAGGAGUUGAAAAUCUUCCUAAACUGCUGGAGGAUACACCUCUGAUAGCUUGAGACAAAUAUCCUCUUGAUCAUUGUUUCACCAUAUUUGUCUUUGCUCAUGGAGAACCAUUUUGAUCCGUGGUUUAGCCUCCCAGGUGAUUGAACAAUACCGGUGAUCUGAGGCAGACCCUCUGUGACGGAUAAC
RNAcentral lists this long non-coding RNA (661 nucleotides) under Homo sapiens (human). RNAcentral's name for it is "non-protein coding PRKCQ-AS1:18". Lineage: Eukaryota; Metazoa; Chordata; Mammalia; Primates; Hominidae. The record is from RNAcentral.